Non-coding RNA from Spirodela intermedia, 74 nucleotides. NCBI's taxonomy places the organism in Eukaryota, Viridiplantae, Streptophyta, Magnoliopsida, Alismatales, Araceae. The record is from the annotation of a GenBank genome assembly.
GUCGUUUUCCAUCUCAGUGGUAGAGUAACGCCAUGGUAAGGCGUAAGUCAUCGGUUCAAAUCCGAUAAAGGGCU